RNAcentral lists this ribosomal RNA (490 nucleotides) under uncultured bacterium. RNAcentral describes it as "bacterial SSU rRNA". It matches the Rfam family "Bacterial small subunit ribosomal RNA", at positions 29 to 507 of the family's 1533-position model. The record is from RNAcentral.
AUGAACGCUAGCGGCAGGCUUAACACAUGCAAGUCGAGGGGCAGCAUGAGACGGAGAUUCGUCGAAGUCUUGAUGGCGACCGGCGCAAGGGUGCGUAACGCGUGAGCAACUUGCCCGUUUCAGGGGGAUAACCGGUGGAAACGCCGACUAAUACCCCAUAGUAUCAACUUUAGGCAUCUUUAGUUGAUUAAGAAAUUCGGAUAAGGAUGGUCUCGCGUCUGAUUAGCUAGAUGGCGGGGUAACGGCCCACCAUGGCGACGAUCAGUAGCCGGUCUGAGAGGAUGAACGGCCACAUUGGGACUGAGAUACGGCCCAGACUCCUACGGGAGGCAGCAGUGAGGAAUAUUGGUCAAUGGUCUGACGACUGAACCAGCCAUGCCGCGUGAAGGUCACGGCCCUAUGGGUCUUAAACUUCUUUUGCAAGGGAGCAAUAAGCCUCACGUGUGGGGCGAUGAGAGUACCUUGCGAAUAAGCAUCGGCUAACUCCGUG